CCUACGGGAGGCAGCAGUGGGGAAUAUUGCACAAUGGGGGAAACCCUGAUGCAGCGACGCCGCGUGAGUGAAGAAGUAUUUCGGUAUGUAAAGAUCUAUCAGCAGGGAAGAAAAUGACGGUACCUGACUAAGAAGCCCCGGCUAACUCCGUGCCAGCAUCCGCGGUAAUAACGAGGGGGCAAGCGGUAUCCGGGUUUAAUGGGGGUAAAGGGAGCGUAGACGGCAGAGUAAGUCUGAGGUGAAAGCCCGAGGCCUAACUGCGGGACGGCUUUGGAUACUGGCCGGCUAGAGUGCUGGAGGGGUAAGCGGAAUUCCUGGUGUAGCGGUGAAAUGCGUAGAUAUUAGGAGGAACAACAGUGGCGAAGGCGGCUUACUGGACAGUAACUGACGUUGAGGCUCGAAAGCGUGGGGAGCAAACAGGAUUAGAUACCCCAGUAGUC
This 440-nucleotide ribosomal RNA is filed under the name uncultured bacterium. RNAcentral's name for it is "partial 16S ribosomal RNA". It matches the Rfam family "Bacterial small subunit ribosomal RNA", at positions 338 to 795 of the family's 1533-position model. The record is from RNAcentral.